AUUGAACGCUGGCGGCAUGCCUUACACAUGCAAGUCGAACGGUAACGCGGGGCAACCUGGCGACGAGUGGCGAACGGGUGAGUAAUGCAUCGGAACGUGCCCAGUUGUGGGGGAUAACUGCUCGAAAGAGCAGCUAAUACCGCAUACGACCUGAGGGUGAAAGCAGGGGAUCGCAAGACCUUGUGCUAUACGAGCGGCCGAUGUCGGAUUAGCUAGUUGGUGAGGUAAAGGCUCACCAAGGCGACGAUCCGUAGCGGGUCUGAGAGGAUGAUCCGCCACACUGGGACUGAGACACGGCCCAGACUCCUACGGGAGGCAGCAGUGGGGAAUUUUGGACAAUGGGCGCAAGCCUGAUCCAGCCAUGCCGCGUGAGUGAAGAAGGCCU
This 385-nucleotide ribosomal RNA is filed under the name uncultured bacterium. RNAcentral's name for it is "bacterial SSU rRNA". It matches the Rfam family "Bacterial small subunit ribosomal RNA", at positions 29 to 417 of the family's 1533-position model. The record is from RNAcentral.